RNAcentral lists this ribosomal RNA (447 nucleotides) under uncultured bacterium. Its description in RNAcentral is "bacterial SSU rRNA". It matches the Rfam family "Bacterial small subunit ribosomal RNA", at positions 329 to 792 of the family's 1533-position model. The record is from RNAcentral.
UUCCAGACUCCUACGGGAGGCAGCAGUGGGGAAUAUUGCACAAUGGGGGAAACCCUGAUGCAGCAACGCCGCGUGAGUGAGGAAGUAUUUCGGUAUGUAAAGCUCUAUCAGCAGGGAAUAGAAAAGAAGGUACCUGAAAAAGAAGCCCCGGCUAACUACGUGCCAGCAGCCGCGGUAAUACGUAGGGGGCAAGCGUUAUCCGGAUUCACUGGGUGUAAAGGGAGCGUAGACGGCGGCGCAAGUCUGGGGUGAAAGCCCGGGGCCCAACCCCGGGACUGCUCUGGAAACUGCGGCGCUGGAGUACGGGAGGGGCAGGCGGAAUUCCUGGUGUAGCGGUGAAAUGCGUAGAUAUCAGGAGGAACACCGGCGGCGAAGGCGGCCUGCUGGACCGUGACUGACGUUGAGGCUCGAGAGCGUGGGGAGCAAACAGGAUUAGAUACCCUGGUA